UACAGAGGUCGCAAGCGUUGUUCGGAUUUACUGGGCGUAAAGGGCGCGUAGGCGGCGUGGCGUGUCAAGUGUGAAAUCUCCGGGCCCAACCCGGAAAGUGCGCUUGAAACUACCAUGCUCGAGGCCGGGAGAGGGAAUCGGAAUGCAGGAUGUAGCGGUGAAAUGCGUUGAUAUCCUGCAGAACACCGGAGGCGAAGGCGGAUUCCUGGAACGGUUCCGACGCUGAGGCGCGAAAGUCGGGGGAGCAAAC
RNAcentral lists this ribosomal RNA (250 nucleotides) under uncultured prokaryote. RNAcentral describes it as "partial 16S ribosomal RNA". It matches the Rfam family "Bacterial small subunit ribosomal RNA", at positions 524 to 773 of the family's 1533-position model. The record is from RNAcentral.